This is a long non-coding RNA of Neopelma chrysocephalum (saffron-crested tyrant-manakin), 1388 nucleotides long. RefSeq lists it as uncharacterized. NCBI's taxonomy places the organism in Eukaryota, Metazoa, Chordata, Aves, Passeriformes, Pipridae. The record is from RefSeq and is a predicted model, not a curated record. The transcript has 2 exons.
UUUGAAAAAAUAAACAAAUCUUCUCCUACCCGAGGAGGAGCCAGGAGACCUCCUCGCCCUCUCUCGCUGUAACCCUUCUAAGUCGUUUGAAAUGAAUUUUCCUGUCUUUCGGCUAUCUGUCAAUGUCACAUCCACGCUGCCUGCACGGGGUGUGGGUAAGCAGGGGGCGGAUGGGAAGAGUCCUUGCGCGUUUCUGGUCCCGCGCGAAGGGGUCUUCCUCCCCACGCCGUUGCCCCACUGACCCACCCUCCAUUCUAUUCCCCUUGGCCCCACCACCAAUACGGCUCCGGGAGGGCAGUUGUGACUUCGGGCGGGAUUUUGUACUGUCGCCGGGUCGUGACGUGAGGUGUCUUUUGGGUGAGCGAUCAUGCUCCUUCCGCUCGGGAGGAUCACCGGGGCCGUCUGAUCGGGAUGGGGAGAGAAGAGAGGGCAAAAUGCAGGGGGGAGCUUAGGACGUAGCCUUCCUCCUGAAACCGCACUCGUCACUGUAGUCUUCGUCGUCAGCGAAGGGAGGACUAACUAACGUUGCCGCGAAAAUUUUUGCUCUGCAGAGGGAAGAGAAAGAUGAGAAAGAAAAACAAGUCCAAACUCCUAUGCUGUUGACAAUGUUUCGGCAAACGGAGUGCUCGUCUGUCUGUCGUGAAACCCCCGAGGAGGAGAGGGAGUGUGCCUUGGCCUCCGAGCGUCCCUCUGCCCCGGCGGGGAGGCUGGGACGCGGGGCGAGUGGGUUUUCAGCACCUCCUAAUUACAGCCUAACACCUAUUGAGAGAGAGAGAGACUCCACAAAGAUUCCACGGAGCCAAAUCCGAGUAAUCCUAUCCAAAAUCCCUAAUAAAGUUUAUCAAUUAGACCACUCAAACUCCUUCGGAUUCAUUCCACUGAGAAAGAAGCUGCCACGUUUCUGAGAAAAUUAGUUUAAACGAGCAAUUCAGUAUCAUUCCUAUCCCGCUUUGCUUGCAAAGCAGCGUCUGGUGAUUCAAUGUUUACUAUUACUUUUCCCCCGUCUCAUAGGCCACUUUUCCUCAGGGUAUCGCAGGAAUGAUGCAAACGAUAGAAGCCUCCCAGUUCUACUAAAAACAAUGAUAAUGGCAUCAACAGCGCUUGCGAUGAUCCCACAGCAGACCGGUGAUUUAAAGCCUGAUUCACUCUUUGUUGGUUUUACCUCCUACAGUAACUUUUAAAACAUCUGUCCUGCGGAAAGAGAAUUUCUUCUGCGCAAAAGUGAUGUUUAGUCUUUAAAUACGGGGGUUAUAAUGGAGCCCUGAAAAGGCGAGGAGUGAUUUUGGGAAAUAUUAUAUACAUACACACUAUUUAGCGUUAUCAAUCUUUACCUCGGCUAUUGACACUUGCCUUGGAAAUAAUAAUAAAAAUUACACAGAAUUGAACAG